RNAcentral lists this ribosomal RNA (234 nucleotides) under uncultured bacterium. RNAcentral's name for it is "partial 16S ribosomal RNA". It matches the Rfam family "Bacterial small subunit ribosomal RNA", at positions 118 to 347 of the family's 1533-position model. The record is from RNAcentral.
UGAGGAACAUGACCUUCGGCGGGGAUAGCCGGCCCAACGGCCGGGUAAUACCGCGUACGACCUUUCGGGGACAUCCCCGGAUGGUGAAAGCAGCAAUGCGCCGAUGGAGUGCCUCGCGGCCUAUCAGCUAGUUGGUGAGGUAACGGCUCACCAAGGCAGCGACGGGUAGCUGGUCUGAGAGGAUGGCCAGCCACAUUGGGACUGAGACACGGCCCAGACUCCGUACGGGAGCAG